AAAGAAACAAAAUAAGUCAUCUUGCAUUAUAUAUAUAAUCCAGAGACAUUAUACACUGAGGAUACCGUGCAAUUCAGAAAAUUAUCGGAAAUGUUGCAGAUCUAAUAACAGUAUUUGAAAAACCUGAGAGAGGAGAGAGGAACCGAGGAGACCAGCGAGGAAAAAGAACAAGCAAGCGAGGAAGACGAAAGGUAACUCAAUCUUCGACUUCAAGCUCCAAUUUGCUUUAUUGGAUUUGCCGCCUUUCAUCCUGUUUCUCAAGUCAAAAUCUCUGGAAUAAUGGUGAAUGCAAAAGAGUAUAUAAUUAUAUGAUUGCUUGACGAUGCAGCAAUUUGCAAAAUGUACAUAUAGUGGUAAGCAGGGCGCGGCGGGAAUGUUUUCAACGGAGAGAGGGGCGCUUGUGUUGAAUUACCAAAAUGUCACGAGAUUCGGCAAUAAAUGGAUUCCACAGAAAAUCUAGGGGUGGGUGGAUUUUG
RNAcentral lists this long non-coding RNA (476 nucleotides) under Citrus sinensis (sweet orange). Its description in RNAcentral is "long non-coding RNA (CSIN_LNC000407)". The record is from RNAcentral. Lineage: Eukaryota; Viridiplantae; Streptophyta; Magnoliopsida; Sapindales; Rutaceae.